This is a non-coding RNA of Pantherophis guttatus, 1822 nucleotides long. Lineage: Eukaryota; Metazoa; Chordata; Lepidosauria; Squamata; Colubridae. The record is from RefSeq and is a predicted model, not a curated record.
GUACGGGUCUGGUUAAAUCUCGCUACGGUAUCCUCGCGCCCGGAUGCCGAUGAGGAAAUGAAGACGGCGAAUCGGGGAUGGGAGAUUUUGCACCCCAAGAAGGGCUCCAAAGCGCAUGCUCGGAUCAUUGCAAUUUCAGAGCUCGGGUCUUUUUCACCGCUUUCUCCGAUGCACGCCAAGAACGUGCCCGGGCAACUUUUCUGCCGUGCCCUCAUGACACUGUUUUGAUCUCGUCUCCAAAAACAUGUACCGUAUGAAGCAGGCAACAACCCGCAGCAGUUUAGGCUUUUGUGCAAUUUGACAUACUCCGUCAACCUCGGUAUUAAGAGGCAGUCUUGUUUUCCAGGGCCCUGUCCUGGCUGCAUCUUCCAAGUUCGGAGACCUGAAUCGACCUGAAACAGCAGAGUGGCUGAGGACUCCUUACUGAAAUAGAAGACGACCGUUUCUUUCUUUGCUGCUGCUUCAUGAUGCAAUUUACCUAGCUACUGUCAGUUGUUGUGCACACUUCUUGAAAGUGGAUGUAGCACUCAUCUGAAUGAAGUUAAACUAGUGUCAAAAAGGAAUCUCAUAGUUUUGCUACAAGAGUCCUGUACAGGUGUGUUCUUUUGGACAGCAGCUUAAUGCUAUUCCGAAUCAGACUAUCUUGGACAAAUUGUCAGGAUUAGUAGUGCUAGGCCCCUUUCAAAAGGAGCCUGAUCAUCAGCUUUGAGCAUGCCCAAGUAAUCUGUGCCAAACCAGAGUGGGCUUUGAUAAAUGGGUAAGGUUGCUACUCCAGCAAUCCGUAAAAAACUUACCUCGGAUUCACCUCUGUUCCACCUCAGCAUAUUUGGUAUACAUUUUCCUGCCAACUGAUGAAGUUUGGUGGAAAGGGAAGGAAACAAAGCCAUGGGAUCAAACAUGUCCUUAACAUGCCCUGUACACAGUACGCCUGCCAUAAAUGCAAAUGGCACACGGGGGGAGGGGGUCACAAGGAGCAGCAGAUUUUAUUUUGUUAAGAUUUUUUUGCUGCCUCAAGGACUGGUGGAUGGCACUAUGACUCUGCCAUGAAGAAGAGCCCCAUGUAUACAAAUUAGUGUUAAGCACCCACUAGCAAUAGCAUUUACUUACAUAUUGCUUCACAGUGCUUUACAGCCCUCUCUAAGUAGUUUACAGAGUCAGCCUAUUGCCCCAACAACCUGGGUCCUCAUUUUGCCAACCUUGGAAGAAUGGAAGGCUGAGUCAACCUUGAGCCAGUGAGAAGUGAACUGCUGGCAGCCAGCAGUCAGCAGAAAUAGCCUGCAGUACUGCAUAUCACUUAAGCCCAAAUUCUACCUCUUCUUUUUUUCUUCUGAGUAGACUGCUUGUGAGAAUGCAACUGCACAUAUCAAUCAGGAAGGAAAAGAGGUUAUUGAUAUAUUUUUCUGAAGAGACAUACAUACUAUAUAUGUGUGUUUAAUAAAGACAUUAUUAGUUACAGAUGGCACUUUAGGAAACUUAGAUAAACAAAUUGUGUUCUGUAAUUAUGAAAUAAAUAUGCAUUAACACAUCUAAGGAUGCUAAAGGCAAUGGCAAUUUACACUGCUGAUUGAUCCAGUGCAUCUUGCAAUACAGUAUCUCUUUCCCAUUUAAAAGAAUUCAAAGAGGGAAAUAUUAAUAUAAUCCUACAGCUAGACCUUGUUGGAGUAAAUUGUUCUAAUCUUCCAAUAUAUUUAUACAUGAAGAAUUUUUUUUACCUUUUUUACAGACUGAAACUUCAGAAACCUUCCAAAUUUGGUUGCAAAACUGUAAAUUUAAGUCCCACAAAAGGCAUAAUAAAUAUAUAAUAAAAUGUCAAUAUCUUGAA